This is a non-coding RNA of Xyrichtys novacula (pearly razorfish), 4002 nucleotides long. The record is from the annotation of a GenBank genome assembly. NCBI's taxonomy places the organism in Eukaryota, Metazoa, Chordata, Actinopteri, Labriformes, Labridae.
ACGGAAGACUGACGACAACAGGACCGGAUCAAGGUCAGAGACACAGGUAUGCCAACUGAAGAGCCCCGCCUCCUCAUGUUAGAGCCCCGCCUCCUCAUGUUAGAGCCCAGUCUCCUGGUGUUAAAGCCACAACCCCUUAUAAAAGAAGCCCCGCCUCCUGAUGCCUGAUCCCCGCCUACUCACAUUAAACCAAGUCUCAUCAUGUCAUAGCCCCGCCCCCUCAUGUUAGAGCCCCACCUUCUAACGUCAGAGACCAGCCGCCUGUGAUUGAAACCCGCCUUCUCACAUUAAACAAGGUCUCCCAAUGUAAAGCCCCGCCCCCUUCUGUUUUAGGCCCAUCUGCACUUUUUGGAGCCUAGUUUCCUCAAGUGAUGGCCACGCCCCCUCACAUAACAGCCCGGAUUUCUCAUGAUGUGGAUCCACCUCUCAUGUUAGAGCCCCGCCUCCUACUGUGAAAGUCCCGCCCCCGACUGUAAGAGCCCCGUGUUCUUAAAUUAAACAUAGUGUACCCAUGUCAUAGCCCCGCCCCCUUAUGUUAGAGCCUUGCCUCCUCAUGCUAGAUCCCCACCUCUUCACAUUAAACCCAGUUUCCUCAUGCUAUAGCCCCACCCCUUUUGUUGGAUCCCCACCUCUUCAUUGAGUAGCCACGCCUCCUCACUUCAUUACCCAACCUCCAGAUGUAAUAGCCCCGCCUCCUCACAUUUAACCCCGUCUCCUCAUGUCAUAGUCCCAGCCAACCUUCUCAUAAUCUAGCCCCACCCUCCUAUGAUAGAGCCCCGCCUCCUCAUGUCAAAGCCCCGCCUCCUCCUCUUGAGUAGGCGUGUUUACACUAAAAGUUUUUUAGGGCGUGUCCCUCAGGUUAAACUCUUAAAGACACCUGUGUGGACAGUUUUAAAGAGUAUAACCCCGCCCCCAAACUGUUUCUCAGAGGAGCUUUAAAGUCGUUUAUCGACUGGUUGCUGUAACCUUUGACCCCUGCGCUCAUGUUCUGGUCACACAGACAGGAUCUCCUCCUCCUCCUCCUCCUCACCUCCACCCUUCCUCCGGAGUUUCUUCGCCGUUAAACCUCCUCUAACGAUAACGGCGCCGUCAGCUGAGAUGAUUCAAGUGUAACAUGUAAAUUGGAGCGCUGAUGUCACACGCCUCUCUACUCGCAAUUUGGAGGAAAUUAAAGAGGAAAAAUUUUCUGCACUUUUACCAUCAGAAAGUCCUCGAAAACUCCUCCAACCCGCCGCAAUCUCUGUCAAAUCACUGCACUACUUCUGCUGCAUGAAAUCAGUCUGAUUAAUUAAGUCUGCCGACAGCUUCGCCGCCGAUGUUCAGUUUGGCGAACAGAAACACGGCGCUGCGAGAGGGAGGAGGAGGAAUCUGGUGUUUACAGUGAAAACAUCUGUGUCUGUGGGCAGGUGAGGCAGAAAUAAUCAGCAGACAGAAUAAAUAAAUUAAAAAAAACACUUUUUUAUUGUUUGGAAGUUUGAGUUUCAGGUUUUUUCAGCCGUCGGAUCAGACGCCGAAGAUCGAAGAGAGAGAGGAGGAAGGAGCGUGAGUGAUCUGGUUUUUAAGAUCUUUGAUUUUGUGACUUUAACACAGAGAUAAAUAUAUAGAUUCUGCAGCAUUUCUACUUAAGUAAUGUCAAAUAAAAUCAGUUUUUACUGUUUUAACCUCCCAGACUCUAUAAUAACUGUAUCUAGUUUAUGUGAAGUCACAUGUUUCGUUCCAGUUUUAAAGCCGAUCUGCAGCAGACGCCACAUUUUUAUUAGUUUAUUUAAAGUUUCUUAUUUUUGCUGUUAUUAUAUUAUUAUACUAACCUUUAGAUAUAUUAGUUAUACUGACCUGACCUGACAAGAGGCCAGCCGUGCGUCUUAUUGGCUAAUCUUCAAAUUUAAAAUCUUUAAAACAAGCUUGUCAUGAAAAACUAAAACACAAAUUAUGGUCAGAAAAGUCAGAUUUUUUGGAGCUUAAAUGUUUAUUUUACUUACGACUGAAAACCAAAAUCAAAAUGUCCUUAAAAUUUAACAAAUAUAUUUAUUUUUUAUCUCGUUUGAUACAUUUGAUGUUUUUGGAAACUGAUAAACAACAAGAGGACAUUUUGAUCAUUUAUCGAACUGUAUUCAGGUGUUUUUUUAGUCAUUAGUUGAUCAUAUUGAUUUGAUAAAAGUAUGUAUCAAAUAUAAUAAAAAAGGCAUUAAAAGGUUUUAAACUGGACCUCUUUUGGCUGAGUGUGUAUGUGGUUCUUGUUGUUUCUGCAGCCAGCCUCUAGUGGACACUCUGGGAACUGCAGGUUUAAGCUCUUCUGUUUCGAGACACUUUGGCUGUGUCCAAAAUGAAUCUCUAACUCCCAUAUGUGGUUUCUCUAUAAAUCUGACGAUGUCUAAGAUCCACUUCGGACACAGCCUUGGUCUUUACAAAAAAAAUGAAAAUGGAGGUUUUAUAAGUCUGAUCCGGGUCAUGUGACGUACUGACGGUUGUUGCUUUCAUGAAUUUUGUAUUUUCUGUUUUUGUGUUUAUUUUUUCAGAGUAAAACUUUGUGAAGUUAAAACUCUUAAAGAUUUACGACACAGAUUUAUUCACACGUUUAUUUAUCCUCAUAAAGAUGUUUCUCCUCUUACUCUGAUGUUAAAGUUUCACCUUUUAGAGCCUUACAUACAUGUACAGAUAUUUCUUUAUCUGCUGACUCCAAGUCUCUCUUCUUCUGAUUUGACGUCUUUACUUCUCAGUAUUUUUAUGUUGCAGUAGAACUUUACUGGUCGAGUAUUUCUGCCCCUCUUUGACUUUGUAAAUCACAAUAAUCAGAGUAUUUUUCUUUACCUGAUUUCUUCUUACAAACAGCUGCUGAAAAUCCUGUUUUUCUUUAUUAAACACAAACACACUUUCUUUUGUUUUCGUUGUUUUUAUUGGAUCAGAAAAACCUCCUGUUACUAAAUCAGACAGACGGAGUUUCAGUCGGAGCGACUCCAUCAGGCCUUCAGGGUUUCUCUGUGUGUGUGAAAGCAGAGGCCCAAACACACACACACACACACACACACACACGAAGGUCCUGGACACCUACUGCCCUCUAGAGGCCGAUGAGUGACGGGUCGGUCAGUCAGGACUUACAGGAACCUUCAUCCUCACCUGAGUCCGAACAGACUCAGAGGUUUGGUUCAGAGUUUUUACAGGAUCUGGAUCAGCUGACAGAGAAAAACAAAAAGAUGUUUUCAGGAGUUUUCAGGAGUUUUCAGGUGUUUUCAGGUGUUUUCAGGUGUUUUCAGGUGUUUUCAGGUUUGUCCGACAGUAAAGAUAAAAACACUCAAACAGAGAAAAAAGAGCCGACCCUGAAAGUCCAUUUUGAACAGACGGGUCAUUAAAUUAAAAGACUCAUUACCUUCACGUAUCUUUAAAGUCGUUAUUCCAACCAUCAGUGACUCUGAUUUCUCGUCUGCAUUAUUUUCACUCUUUAACACCUUUUCUCUAAAUUCCUCUCGUUCUUCAUUUUUCAGGUUUGUGGCAGAAACUUAAAUCAAGUUUUCGGUGUCGUCACAUUUACAGGGUUUCAGAUUAAAAUGAUCUGUAUCAGCUCAGACUGAUUUAUUUUACACCAAAGAAACAAAAACAAACGUCUUUUUUUUAAGUAUAGUCGGUACAAUCAAACCCACCGGAGACUGUACAGACCACCGUACUCUCAAAUCACUCCUAAAAACACCUUUUUAAAUUGUUUUUGAAACCUGUAAACUUUUAUUGUCUUUUCAUAUUGAAUCUUUUUUAACCUUUUUCAUUGUUGGUUUUAUUUCCAGAAAUUUUCUGUAUUUUUUUUGUUUUUUAUUUUAUUUUAUUUUUUUAUUUUCUUUGUAUGGCGUUUUUGAGCUCUUGUAAAAGUGCGUUAUAAUUAAAAUUUAUUAUUUAUUUUAUUAUUACAAUUUAGUGAAUAUAAUUUACUUUGUAAAGUUUAAGGACAAUUAAAUAUAGAAAAUAAACUACAAUGAAGCUCCUGCACUUUGAGUAUAUUAUCCCACAAUGCAAUGC